UACGUAGGGGGCAAGCGUUGUCCGGAUUUAUUGGGCGUAAAGCGCUCGCAGGUGGUUCAUUGCGUCGUGCGUGAAAGACCCCGGCUCAACUGGGGAGGGUCGUGCGAAACGGGUGAACUAGAGGCCAGUAGGGGGAUGCGGAAUUCCGGGUGUAGUGGUGGAAUGCGUAGAGAUCCGGAGGAGCACCAGCGGCGAAGGCGGCAUCCUGGACUGGUCCUGACACUCAGGAGCGAAAGCGUGGGGAGCGAUCCGG
This 253-nucleotide ribosomal RNA is filed under the name uncultured bacterium. Its description in RNAcentral is "partial 16S ribosomal RNA". It matches the Rfam family "Bacterial small subunit ribosomal RNA", at positions 524 to 776 of the family's 1533-position model. The record is from RNAcentral.